Molecule: long non-coding RNA, 311 nt
Filed under: Gossypium barbadense (sea-island cotton)
Lineage: Eukaryota; Viridiplantae; Streptophyta; Magnoliopsida; Malvales; Malvaceae
Description: long non-coding RNA (GBAR_LNC013232)
Source: RNAcentral
AAACCUUAAAAUCCAUUGCCAUGGUAUUGUUUUAAUUCCCAGAAUGAGGUUUAAACCAAAUAAUGGCAGCUAAAAUCACAACAUCUGCAAAAUCUGAAACUGAAAAUAUAAGCAAAUACCAUUGAAAUUACUGAAAAAUAUUUGAGGAAAUAUUGGCAAAUUAAAGUAAUAGAAAAGAGGGGAACCUCUCAAAAGCUUGAUUAUUUUAAAACUGUGCAAGCAUCUUCUUUCACUUUUUUGUUUCUUUCGGUCAUAAAGAACUGAUAGAUAAUAAGCACAAUCAUGGGUUUCUUUGCGUUUUUGAAGAUUUU